Long non-coding RNA from Salvelinus sp. IW2-2015, 332 nucleotides. RefSeq lists it as uncharacterized. The transcript has 3 exons. Lineage: Eukaryota; Metazoa; Chordata; Actinopteri; Salmoniformes; Salmonidae. The record is from RefSeq and is a predicted model, not a curated record.
GUUCCAGUUACAUCAGAUCCCCAACUUCUCAGGCCGGGUGUUCUGUAUCCUGUUUCAGUCCACCUUCUCUGAAUGGCUCUCCUCUAUCCUGCGCAAACUGGACAUCCUGCAGAGAGUGUGCACGACCUUGCAGAGUGGCCAGUGUGUGAUGCAGGUGCUGGGUCUGGUCCUGGCCUUUGGUAACUUCAUGAAUGGUGGCAACCGAACCAGAGGACAGGCUGAYGGCUUUAACCUGGAUAUCCUGCCCAAGCUGAAGGAUGUGAAGAGCAGCGAUAACACCCGGAGUCUGUUGUCCUACAUAGUGUCUUACUAUCUGAGACACUUUGACGAGG